UCCUACGGGGAGGCAGCAGUGGGGAAUUUUGGACAAUGGGCGCAAGCCUGAUCCAGCCAUGCCGCGUGAGUGAAGAAGGCCUUCGGGUUGUAAAGCUCUUUCGUCCGGGAAGAAAUCGUGUUCUCUAACAUAGGACAUGGAUGACGGUACCGGAGUAAGAAGCACCGGCUAACUUCGUGCCAGCAGCCGCGGUAAUACGUAGGGUGCGAGCGUUAAUCGGAAUUACUGGGCGUAAAGCGUGCGCAGGCGGUUUUGUAAGUCAGAUGUGAAAUCCCCGGGCUUAACCUGGGAACUGCGUUUGUGACUGCAAGGCUAGAGUGCGGCAGAGGGGGGUGGAAUUCCUGGUGUAGCAGUGAAAUGCGUAGAUAUCAGGAGGAACAUCGAUGGCGAAGGCAGCCCCCUGGGCCUGUACUGACGCUCAUGCACGAAAGCGUGGGGAGCAAACAGGAUUAGAUACCCUGGUAGUCCACGCCCUAAACGAUGUCGAG
Molecule: ribosomal RNA, 488 nt
Filed under: uncultured bacterium
Lineage: Bacteria
Description: bacterial SSU rRNA
Rfam family: Bacterial small subunit ribosomal RNA
Source: RNAcentral